RNAcentral lists this ribosomal RNA (895 nucleotides) under uncultured bacterium. Its description in RNAcentral is "bacterial SSU rRNA". It matches the Rfam family "Bacterial small subunit ribosomal RNA", at positions 60 to 953 of the family's 1533-position model. The record is from RNAcentral.
AGUCGUGGGGCAGCGCAGGUAGCAAUNCUGGGCGGCGACCGGCAAACGGGUGCGGAACACGUACACAACCUUCCGAGAAGUGGGGAAUAGCCCAGAGAAAUUUGGAUUAAUACCCCGUAACAUAACGAUGUGGCAUCACAUUGUUAUUAUAGCUUCGGCGCUUCUUGAUGGGUGUGCGGCUGAUUAGAUAGUUGGCGGGGUAACGGCCCACCAAGUCUACGAUCAGUAGCUGAUGUGAGAGCAUGAUCAGCCACACGGGCACUGAGACACGGGCCCGACUCCUACGGGAGGCAGCAGUAAGGAAUAUUGGUCAAUGGACGCAAGUCUGAACCAGCCAUGCCGCGUGAAGGAUUAAGGUCCUCUGGAUUGUAAACUUCUUUUAUCUGGGACGAAAAAAGGCGAUUCUUCGUCACUUGACGGUACCAGAUGAAUAAGCACCGGCUAACUCCGUGCCAGCAGCCGCGGUAAUACGGAGGGUGCAAGCGUUAUCCGGAUUCACUGGGUUUAAAGGGUGCGUAGGCGGGCAGGUAAGUCAGUGGUGAAAUCCUAGAGCUUAACUCUAGAACUGCCAUUGAUACUAUCUGUCUUGAAUAUUGUGGAGGUAAGCGGAAUAUGUCAUGUAGCGGUGAAAUGCUUAGAUAUGACACGGAACACCUAUUGCGAAGGCAGCUUACUACGCAUAUAUUGACGCUGAGGCACGAAAGCGUGGGGAUCAAACAGGAUUAGAUACCCUGGUAGUCCACGCCCUAAACGAUGAUUACUCGACAUUUGUGAUACACUAUAAGUGUCUGAGCGAAAGCAUUAAGUAAUCCACCUGGGAAGUACGACCGCAAGGUUGAAACUCAAANNNNNNGNCGGGGGUCCNNNNNNNCGGUGGAGCAUGUGGUUUAAUUCG